Molecule: ribosomal RNA, 328 nt
Filed under: uncultured bacterium
Lineage: Bacteria
Description: bacterial SSU rRNA
Rfam family: Bacterial small subunit ribosomal RNA
Source: RNAcentral
CGUAGGUGGUAGUGUAAGUCUGGGGUGGAAUCCCAGGGCUUAACCCUGGAACUGCCUUGGAAACUGCAUUACUUGAGUCAGUGAGGGGAGGGUAGAAUUCCUGGUGUAGCGGUGAAAUGCGUAGAUAUCAGGAGGAAGGCCUGUGGCGAAGGCGGCCCUCUGGCGCUGGACUGACACUGAGGCGCGAAAGCGUGGGGAGCAAACAGGAUUAGAUACCCUGGUAGUCCACGCCCUAAACGGUGGGCACUAGGUGUAGGGCUCGUAAGGGUUCUGUGCCGAAGGGAAACCAUUAAGUGCCCCGCCUGGGGAGUACGGCCGCAAGGUUGAA